This 279-nucleotide ribosomal RNA is filed under the name uncultured bacterium. Its description in RNAcentral is "partial 16S ribosomal RNA". It matches the Rfam family "Bacterial small subunit ribosomal RNA", at positions 506 to 784 of the family's 1533-position model. The record is from RNAcentral.
UGCCAGCCGCCGCGGUAAUACGGAGGGUGCAAACGUUGCUCGGAAUUACUGGGCGUAAAGCGCGCGUAGGUGGUCUUUUAAGUCGGGUGUGAAAGCCCUGGGCUCAACCCGGGAAGUGCAUUCGAAACUGGGAGACUUGAGUACGGGAGAGGGUUGCGGAAUUCCCGGUGUAGAGGUGAAAUUCGUAGAGAUUGGAAGGAACACCAGUGGCGAAGGCGACCACCUGGACUGACACUGACGCUGAGGUGCGAAAGCGUGGGGAGCAAACAGGAUUAGAUA